Molecule: ribosomal RNA, 628 nt
Filed under: Cortinarius phlegmophorus
Lineage: Eukaryota; Fungi; Basidiomycota; Agaricomycetes; Agaricales; Cortinariaceae
Description: eukaryotic LSU rRNA
Rfam family: 5.8S ribosomal RNA (bases 253-406)
Source: RNAcentral
CAUUAUUGAAAUAAAACUGAUGAGUUGCUGCUGGCUCUCAAGAGAGCAUGUGCACGCUUGUCGUCUUUAUCUCUCCACCUGUGCACCUAUUGUAGACUUGGAUAACUCUCUGAAUGCUAGCAUUCAGGUUUAUGAGGAUUGACUUUUUGCCUUUCCUUACAUUUCUAGGCCUAUGUUCUUUCCAUAUAACCUCAAUGUAUGCUAUGGAAUGUAAUACUUAUAGGGCAUUCUGUGCCUUUUAAACCUUUAUACAACUUUCAGCAACGGAUCUCUUGGCUCUCGCAUCGAUGAAGAACGCAGCGAAAUGCGAUAAGUAAUGUGAAUUGCAGAAUUCAGUGAAUCAUCGAAUCUUUGAACGCAUCUUGCACUUCUUGGUAUUCCGAGGAGUAUGCCUGUUUGAGUGUCAUUAAUAUAUCAACCUCUCUCGUUGAGAGUGUGGAUGUGGGGGGGAGUUAUUUUGCUGGCCUUUAAAUGAGGUCAGCUCCCCUGAAAUACAUCAGCAGAACAAUUUGUUGACCUUGUUCAUUGGUGUGAUAACUAUCUACGCCGUUGAACGUGAUUCAGCUUCAUAACAGUCCACUGGACAAAUGCAUUUAUUAAUGUGACCUCAAAUCAGGUAGGACUACCC